UCCGCGAUAGCUCAAUGGUGGAGCAUUCGGCUGUUAUCCCGACUUUGUCGGGAUGCAAGUUCGAGUCUCACUUGCGGGG
Non-coding RNA from Ignavibacteria bacterium CG1_02_37_35, 79 nucleotides. The record is from Rfam. NCBI's taxonomy places the organism in Bacteria, Pseudomonadati, Ignavibacteriota, Ignavibacteria.